Molecule: ribosomal RNA, 318 nt
Filed under: Triticum aestivum (bread wheat)
Lineage: Eukaryota; Viridiplantae; Streptophyta; Magnoliopsida; Poales; Poaceae
Description: partial small subunit ribosomal RNA
Source: RNAcentral
AUGCUUUGGAACGGCUCCACCAAGAAUUAUGACCCCUGUCUUCCUUGGGCUUGCAUGAAUGGCUUCACCAUUUAUCAGCCUUAUAUCUGCAAAACCAUUCAAGCAUUUGAAAAUGAACACAAAUUAAGAAUAUCAAAUAAACUGGAACUUACCUUGUACAAUGUCGAUAAUAAGACCAGGAUUGUGAGCUGCAUGACAAAACAGCAUGUCUCCGAGCGUUCCAUCUGUCAAUGUUGGGCACUACACAGGAAUAUUGUUCUGGUCGAUUUUAACGAGUCAACACUUUGCAACUUCAGUCUUUGCACAAAUAGUUCUUGA